Molecule: ribosomal RNA, 437 nt
Filed under: uncultured Acetivibrio sp.
Lineage: Bacteria; Bacillati; Bacillota; Clostridia; Acetivibrionales; Acetivibrionaceae
Description: bacterial SSU rRNA
Rfam family: Bacterial small subunit ribosomal RNA
Source: RNAcentral
ACGGAAGGCAGCAGUGGGGGAUAUUGCGCAAUGGGGGAAACCCUGACGCAGCAACGCCGCGUGAUGGAAGAAGGCCUUCGGGUUGUAAACAUCUGUUGCAAGGGAAGAAACAAAUGACGGUACCUUGUGAGGAAGCCACGGCUAACUACGUGCCAGCAGCCGCGGUAAUACGUAGGUGGCGAGCGUUGUCCGGAUUUACUGGGUGUAAAGGGCGCGUAGGCGGGUGAGCAAGUCAGUCGUGAAAUACCGAGGCUUAACUUCGGGGCUGCGAUUGGAACUGUUCAUCUUGAGUGUCGGAGAGGAUAGCGGAAUUCCUAGUGUAGCGGUGAAAUGCGUAGAUAUUAGGAGGAACACCAGUGGCGAAGGCGGCUUACUGGACAAUAACUGACGCUGAGGCUCGAAAGCGUGGGGAGCAAACAGGAUUAGAUACCCUGGUA